CUUUACUGUAACCUGAAAUUGAAAUUGGACUUUAUUUGCGCAGGAUAGGUGGGAGGCGUUGAGAAUAUUCUUGCGGGAAUAUUGGAGCCAUCAGUGAGAUACCACUCUUGUAAUGUUAGAUUUCUAACUUUGUAUCAUUAUCUGGUCAAAGAACAGUUUCAGGCGGGCAGUUUGACUGGGGCGGUCGCCUCCUAAACGGUAACGGAGGCGCACAAAGGUUUCCUCUGAACGGGUAGAAAUCGUAUCUAGAGUGUAAAGGCAUAAGGAAGCUUGACUGUGAGACCUACAAGUCGAGCAGGGACGAAAGUCGGUCUUAGUGAUCUGACGGUGCUGAGUGGAAAGGCCGUCACUCAACGGAUAAAAGUUA
Molecule: ribosomal RNA, 367 nt
Filed under: uncultured organism
Description: bacterial LSU rRNA
Rfam family: Bacterial large subunit ribosomal RNA
Source: RNAcentral